CCUACGGGUGGCAGCAGUGGGGAAUAUUGCACAAUGGGGGAAACCCUGAUGCAGCGAUGCCGCGUGGAGGAAGAAGGUUUUCGGAUUGUAAACUCCUUUUAUCAGGGACGAUAAUGACGGUACCUGAAGAAAAAGCUCCGGCUAACUACGUGCCAGCAGCCGCGGUAAUACGUAGGGAGCGAGCGUUAUCCGGAUUUAUUGGGUUUAAAGGGAGCGUAGGCCGGCUUUUAAGUCAGCUGUGAAAGUCCGCGGCUCAACCGUGGAAUUGCAGUUGAAACUGGAGGCCUUGAGUGCACACAGGGAUGCCGGAAUUCAUGGUGUAGCGGUGAAAUGCUUAGAUAUCAUGAAGAACUCCGAUCGCGAAGGCAAGUGUCCGGGGUGCAACUGACGCUGAGGCUCGAAAGUGCGGGUAUCAAACAGGAUUAGAUACCCUAGUAGUC
This 440-nucleotide ribosomal RNA is filed under the name uncultured bacterium. RNAcentral describes it as "partial 16S ribosomal RNA". It matches the Rfam family "Bacterial small subunit ribosomal RNA", at positions 338 to 795 of the family's 1533-position model. The record is from RNAcentral.